RNAcentral lists this ribosomal RNA (460 nucleotides) under uncultured bacterium. RNAcentral's name for it is "partial 16S ribosomal RNA". It matches the Rfam family "Bacterial small subunit ribosomal RNA", at positions 338 to 795 of the family's 1533-position model. The record is from RNAcentral.
CCUACGGGAGGCAGCAGUGAGGAAUAUUGGUCAAUGGACGAGAGUCUGAACCAGCCAAGUAGCGUGAAGGAUGACUGCUCUAUGGGUUGUAAACUUCUUUUAUAUGGGAAUAAAACGUUCCACGUGUGGGUAUUUGUAUGUACCAUAUGAAUAAGCAUCGGCUAACUCCGUGCCAGCAGCCGCGGUAAUACGGAGGAUCCGAGCGUUAUCCGGAUUUAUUGGGUUUAAAGGGUGCGUAGGUGGAUUGUUAAGUCAGUUGUGAAAGUUUGUGGCUCAACCGUAAAAUUGCAGUUGAAACUGGCAGUCUUGAGUACAGUAGAGGUAGGCGGAAUGCGUGGUGUAGCGGUGAAAUGCUUAGAUAUCACGAAGAACUCCGAUUGCGAAGGCAGUUCACUGGACUACAACUGACACUGAGGCACGAAAGUGUGGGUAUCAAACAGGAUUAGAUACCCCGGUAGUC